GGCCGACUAGCUCAGUUGGUUAGAGCGUGGUACUAAUACACCGGAUAUGUUUGAAGGUGUCAUGCCAAGGUCGUCAGUUCGAUCCUGGCGUUGGCCA
The sequence is a transfer RNA, 97 nucleotides long. It matches the Rfam family "tRNA". From Rfam's summary of the family: Transfer RNA (tRNA) molecules are approximately 80 nucleotides in length. The record is from Rfam.